RNAcentral lists this long non-coding RNA (635 nucleotides) under Durio zibethinus. RNAcentral describes it as "long non-coding RNA (DZIB_LNC001875)". The record is from RNAcentral. Lineage: Eukaryota; Viridiplantae; Streptophyta; Magnoliopsida; Malvales; Malvaceae.
UUAUUAGCAUAGUUAGUCAAAAUGUAAAUUUAUCAAUAAAAAAACAUCACAUGUCAUAUUAUUUGAUUUUUUAAAUUAAUAACAUAUAAAUGAAAAAUAUUUUUAAAAUAAAAAAUAUAGGAAAUGAAAAAAAUAUAAAAGAAAUCUAUUUUGUGUUAUUUUUUUGAAAAAAGAAAUCAAAAACUUUUUCCUUCAAAAGUUUAUUUUUUAAAUUAAAAAUAAAAAUUUUGGAAAAUUAAAAAGUUGAAAAAGAAAGAAAAGGAGUCAAGGAGAGAAAAGAAAAAGAAUGGAAAAGGAAGGGGCGGGGAAGUCGGAGUCGGAGUAGAUCUUACCGGCCUAGGCCCAAGGUAGAUCGGCUCGAUUAGUAUCUUGCCAGCGGAACCUCCUCCUUCUCGUCUCCUUUCACCUUUCAUUUCUCUCCUAACUACUGUUUUUAAUUUUAAAACAUUUUUAAUUUUAUUUUAAGUUUUUUAUUUUUUAAACAAUAAAAAAGAACUAAAAACUUAAAGGCGUGUCAGGAUUUUAUUAAUUACUUUUAGGUUACAUAAGCUAAAUGUUAACGGUGUUAAUAAGAUAAAAUUAAAAUUUGAAUGCCUAAUUAUAAAUUUUUAUUCAUUAGAUAUUAAAUCGUAAAA